This 1202-nucleotide long non-coding RNA is filed under the name Arachis ipaensis. RNAcentral's name for it is "long non-coding RNA (AIPA_LNC001887)". The record is from RNAcentral. Lineage: Eukaryota; Viridiplantae; Streptophyta; Magnoliopsida; Fabales; Fabaceae.
UUAAAUUUCUGAACUUAUUGAUAUGAAAAUAUAUUUUCAUUUCCUCGUCUUCUUACUUAUUCUUUUCAUGUGUUUUGGUAUGUACCAAAUUUAUCAAAAUAAUUCAAUAUAAAAUUUAGCUAACAUACCAUGAAAAUUCUGUGUAGAUAUUGUCUUAAGAUAGGAGAAAAAAUAUUUAAAAUGGAGAUUUAAAAAAAAAAAGCAUCUUUAAAUCUUGUUUGUUAAAAAUAAAGAUACACAGACAAAAUAAAAUUUAAAAAUUAUUUUUGUUUUCUUCUUUUGUUAAUAUCCUCAACAAACUAACUUCUUCUACCACUAUUCUUGAGUGUUGACCAUUAAAGUUUUUGGCUUUAUACAUUAUUAUGUCUCCUAUAUAUUGAGUGGAUAAAAAAUUUUAUAAAUUUUUGUUUCUCAAUUAAAAUCUUUUUCUUAAAUUUUUGUCCAUAUCCUUCUUUUUAAAUAUUUUUAUUCCUGUAUUUGUAUUUCUAUUUCUAUUUGUCUGUCUAUAUUUUUUUUUUAGAACAAAUAGAAUCUAAGGACAUGUAUCAAGAUUAUUUCCAAUAGAAGUUUUUAAAUUUUUUAUUUUAAUACACGUAUAACAAAUGUAUUAAAAAUUUAAAUUUUAUAUAUUUUUCAAAAAAAUAUUUUCAAAUUAGUAAUAGCAAAUAUUUGCUAAACCCUUUAUGAUUUUAGUUAUAACAUGUUUUAUUUUUAGCAAUUGUUAUAUGAUUUUAAUUUCUUGGCUAAUGACUGUGUAUUUUAUGUCUGAAUGUUUGUAGGUAAUAGCCAAAUGCAGGUAACAGAAGAAACAACAAUAUGCUUUAGUAUUGUCAAGGGAAAAUAUUGUCCAUACACAAAGGAGGAUAAAUGUUUUAAGGCUUGCCUGUCUCUUCAUGGUGCUCACAGUUUGAUAUAUGGAGGAUGUGUUCCAGAAGGAUGCCAGUGUACUUUUUAUAAUCCAGAUAAAACUAAACCAUGUCCACCAUAUGAUGUUUAAUUUGUUAUAACUAGAACAGUGAUAUACAUUAGUUGUUUAUCCUUUUUUGGGUGGCGUUCUAAUAAUGGUGAAUAAAAUGAUGGCUGUAUUAUAUUCUCUAUCUAUCUAUCUAUCAAAAUAAUAAUUAAACAGUGGUUGUACUAUGAUUUAUAAAAAUCAUAUUUCAGCACUUAAUAAUAAAAUUGAUGUGGUAUACUUUUAAGAA